UGGAGAUAGUCUGGCGUGG
RNAcentral lists this non-coding RNA (19 nucleotides) under Rattus norvegicus (Norway rat). The record is from RNAcentral. Lineage: Eukaryota; Metazoa; Chordata; Mammalia; Rodentia; Muridae.